UAGGGAAUCUUCCACAAUGGACGCAAGUCUGAUGGAGCAACGCCGCGUGAGUGAAGAAGGUUUUCGGAUCGUAAAGCUCUGUUGUUGGUGAAGAAGGAUAGAGGUAGUAACUGGCCUUUAUUUGACGGUAAUCAACCAGAAAGUCACGGAUAACUACGUGCCAGCAGCCGCGGUAAUACGUAGGUGGCAAGCGUUGUCCGGAUUUAUUGGGCGUAAAGCGAGCGCAGGCGGAAGAAUAAGUCUGAUGUGAAAGCCCUCGGCUUAACCGAGGAACUGCAUCGGAAACUGUUUUUCUUGAGUGCAGAAGAGGAGAGUGGAACUCCAUGUGUAGCGGUGGAAUGCGUAGAUAUAUGGAAGAACACCAGUGGCGAAGGCGACUCUCUGGUCUGCAACUGACGCUGAGGCUCGAAAGCAUGGGUAGCGAACAGG
Molecule: ribosomal RNA, 429 nt
Filed under: bacterium
Lineage: Bacteria
Description: partial 16S ribosomal RNA
Rfam family: Bacterial small subunit ribosomal RNA
Source: RNAcentral